GACGGGGGGGGCAAGUGUUCUUCGGAAUGACUGGGCGUAAAGGGCACGUAGGCGGUGAAUCGGGUUGAAAGUGAAAGUCGCCAAAAAGUGGCGGAAUGCUCUCGAAACCAAUUCACUUGAGUGAGACAGAGGAGAGUGGAAUUUCGUGUGUAGGGGUGAAAUCCGUAGAGAUCCGGAAGAACACCGGUGGCGAAGGCGGUCUGCUGGGCAGUUGCUGACACUGAUGCGCGACAGCGUGGGGAGCAAACAGG
RNAcentral lists this ribosomal RNA (251 nucleotides) under uncultured bacterium. RNAcentral's name for it is "partial 16S ribosomal RNA". It matches the Rfam family "Bacterial small subunit ribosomal RNA", at positions 524 to 776 of the family's 1533-position model. The record is from RNAcentral.